Molecule: ribosomal RNA, 468 nt
Filed under: uncultured bacterium
Lineage: Bacteria
Description: partial 16S ribosomal RNA
Rfam family: Bacterial small subunit ribosomal RNA
Source: RNAcentral
GACGAACGCUGGCGGCGUGCUUAACACAUGCAAGUCGGACGGAAAGGCCCUGCUUUUGUGGGGUGCUCGAGUGGCGAACGGGUGAGUAACACGUGAGUAACCUGCCCUUGACUUUGGGAUAACUUCAGGAAACUGGGGCUAAUACCGGAUAGGAGCUCCUGCUGCAUGGUGGGGGUUGGAAAGUUUCGGCGGUUGGGGAUGGACUCGCGGCUUAUCAGCUUGUUGGUGGGGUAGUGGCUUACCAAGGCUUUGACGGGUAGCCGGCCUGAGAGGGUGACCGGCGACAUUGGGACUGAGAUACGGCCCAGACGCCUACGGGAGGCAGCAGUGGGGAAUAUUGCAAAAUGGGCGGAAGCCUGAUGAAGAAACGCCGCGUGCGGGAUGACGGCCUUCGGGUUGUAAACCGCUUUCGCCUGUGACGAAGCGUGAGUGACGGUAAUGGGUAAAGAAGCACCGGCUAACUACGUG